UACAGAGGUGGCAAGCGUUGUUCGGAAUUACUGGGCGUAAAGGGCGAGUAGGUGGCCAUCUAAGUCAGACGUGAAAUCCCUCGGCUUAACCGGGGAACUGCGUCUGAUACUGGAUGGCUUGAGUUUGGGAGAGGGAUGCGGAAUUCCAGGUGUAGCGGUGAAAUGCGUAGAUAUCUGGAGGAACACCGGUGGCGAAGGCGGCAUCCUGGACCAACACUGACGCUGAGUGAGCGAAAGCCAGGGGAGCAAACGGG
Molecule: ribosomal RNA, 254 nt
Filed under: uncultured bacterium
Lineage: Bacteria
Description: partial 16S ribosomal RNA
Rfam family: Bacterial small subunit ribosomal RNA
Source: RNAcentral